Non-coding RNA from Parelaphostrongylus tenuis, 73 nucleotides. The record is from the annotation of a GenBank genome assembly. Lineage: Eukaryota; Metazoa; Nematoda; Chromadorea; Rhabditida; Metastrongylidae.
GCGUCGCUGGUGCAACGGUUCAGCACGCGCUCCCGUAAAGUGUGGAACCUUGGUUCGAGUCCCAGCUGACGCA